This 744-nucleotide ribosomal RNA is filed under the name uncultured bacterium. RNAcentral's name for it is "bacterial SSU rRNA". It matches the Rfam family "Bacterial small subunit ribosomal RNA", at positions 8 to 796 of the family's 1533-position model. The record is from RNAcentral.
AGAGUUUGAUCCUGGCUCAGAACGAACGCUGGCGGCAGGCUUAACACAUGCAAGUCGAACGCGUGUAGCAAUACACGAGUGGCGCACGGGUGAGUAACGCGUGGAUAUCUGCCUUUUGGUUCGGAAUAACCCCGGGAAACUGGGGCUAAUACCGGAUGGUUCCUACGGGAUAAAGAUUUAUCGCCAAAAGAUGAGUCCGCGUCCGAUUAGCUAGUUGGUGGGGUAAUGGCCUACCAAGGCGACGAUCGGUAGCUGGUCUGAGAGGACGAUCAGCCACACUGGGACUGAGACACGGCCCAGACUCCUACGGGAGGCAGCAGUGGGGAAUAUUGGACAAUGGGGGCAACCCUGAUCCAGCCAUGCCGCGUGAGUGAUGAAGGCCUUCGGGUUGUAAAGCUCUUUUGGCGGGGACGAUGAUGACGGUACCCGCAGAAUAAGCCCCGGCUAACUUCGUGCCAGCAGCCGCGGUAAGACGAAGGGGGCUAGCGUUGUUCGGAAUUACUGGGCGUAAAGCGCGUGUAGGCGGUUGUCCAAGUCGGGUGUGAAAGCCUUGAGCUCAACUCAAGAAAUGCACUCGAUACUGGGCGACUAGAGUGCCGGAGAGGAUAGUGGAAUUCCCAGUGUAGUGGUGAAAUACGUAGAGAUUGGGAAGAACACCAGUGGCGAGGGCGGCUAUCUGGACGGUUACUGACGCUAAGACGCGAAAGCGUGGGGAGCAAACAGGAUUAGAUACCCCCGUAGUCC